GGCCAAACUGCCAUCCCUUUAGCUCUCCUAGGCAAAGUACAGAUAUCCAACAGAUAUGCAUGGGAAUAGCACACAAGACAGUGUCUGUUCCACUUGGCCAGGGUUCCAUUCUCAUUGGUAGGCUGGUUGUUCAAUGCUGUGAGUAUCUACUGAAGGGCACCUGUAGAUGGAAAGCAGGACUGAAUCAGACUCCUUCUACUUGGCUUUAGGACAGCUAUCUGCAGGAAUACAAAAAGUGUACUUUGAACAGCCACUAUUGGAGACGAGAAAGCCACUUCUCAAGCUCCACCCCACCAUCACCCCAAAACUUCAUCACUAGGAAAUGUUAAAGGAUGAGAACAGAAUGUGGGAAACACCCAGGCCAUUGUGGUACAGGUAGGUGGGGCUGAGCCCCCUUUAAACCUUUCUUGUGAGUGCCCCCCACCAACCCAACGAAGAACCUUCCACAAAAUUGAAGACUGUACCUCGUGCCAUCAGAGUUGACUCACAAGGCUCUUUGAACAGCACAGCAUGAGGAAUGGGACUUACAAUUACUGGACUGGCAAAGGCUGCUGCUAAUUACCUGUUAGGUGUGACCUUGGAGUAUAGCUGGGGCCAGUGCCAGUCCCAUAAUUUCUGGAAGUAGGUUUUGGCAGAGACUUGUUCUUUCUGAAUCUCCUUGGGCUGUGCAGUCUCUGCUUGGAGAAGCAUUGGGGUUUGGUGGAAAGGACUUUCACUAUAUAUUUCCUUGAAUGGGUAGGUUUAGGGAGCUAGAGAGGAGAAAAGCAUCUAUAUUGAUGGGGAAGACCUUUCAUUAUGGAGUCAAGGCUAUUCAAACAAAAAAUUUUUA
This 829-nucleotide long non-coding RNA is filed under the name Felis catus (domestic cat). RNAcentral's name for it is "lncRNA (ENSFCAG00000043546.2)". The record is from RNAcentral. Lineage: Eukaryota; Metazoa; Chordata; Mammalia; Carnivora; Felidae.